Molecule: ribosomal RNA, 254 nt
Filed under: uncultured bacterium
Lineage: Bacteria
Description: partial 16S ribosomal RNA
Rfam family: Bacterial small subunit ribosomal RNA
Source: RNAcentral
UACGGGGGGAGCAAGCGUUGUUCGGAUUUACUGGGCGUAAAGGGCGCGUAGGCGGCCACCGCAAGUCGAUUGUGAAAUCUCCGGGCUUAACCCGGAAAGGUCAACCGAUACUGCGGGGCUAGAGUGCAGAAGGGGCAACUGGAAUUCUCGGUGUAGCGGUGAAAUGCGUAGAUAUCGAGAGGAACACCUGCGGCGAAGGCGGGUUGCUGGGCUGACACUGACGCUGAGGAGCGAAAGCAUGGGGAGCGAACAGG